AUACGUUUUUGGAUAACUGAAAUGCCUUGACAGUACAAACAGCACUAACGUUAGCAAGCUAGUGAGCGGAUAACUUAACAUAUUGUUUUGCGUGAUAGCUUUAUUCAACUCUCAUUUGAACAUUUGAUCUCUUCUAAUAUAUAUUUUUUUUUUGUUGCUGUGUUGCAAUUAUGUGUGUAUUGUGUAAUUUUGGUAUUUCUGAUGCCUUGCCACACUGACAAGCGCUAAUAAGAAAACUAUGUCUAGAUGUUAUUAUUCCCUCUGGGAAAAUGGAAGAAAACACUUAUAAACGCUAGAAUUGCAAAGCGGAAGUGGUCCGCGAGUGAAUUUUGCGUAAUGAGUGACAGGAGAACGAACUAAAGAGAAAGAGAAAUGGCGCCUCAAUGCCAUUCUUACUGAGGCAGAGUACAGACGGAUAGACAGAUUAAACAAGUGAAAAUAAACGGACAAAUCAUGGUGAACACAAGAAAGAACUCUCGGCAUAAGCCGAGCAGUCCCUUCAUCUCGUCCAGGACCCGGUCUUCUGCCAGAAAUCCCUCCAACUCUGAAGAACAUAAGGAUCCCAGUAGUGAUGUGAGCAGUCCCAGCAGUCCUGGACUGUCCCCUCCCUUGAAGCGAACCCGUAGACAGACCAGCUCCAGCGACACCUCUCCCUCCCCCCAGGCCAAGGGCCAGAGGGUCUCCUGGGGCAAGCCCACCUACCGCACCAGGUUGUCAUCUGGCGCCCUGCAAAAUGGAAAUGCCCAUAAGGAGGAGGGGGCAGGAGACCACUCUCACAUGAAUGGCCAUGUUGACCGGAAGAGGAGCUGCCAAGUGAGGAAGAGCCAGUUUGAACACCUCAACCAGAGCCUGCUGUUUGACCAGCUCGUCAACAGCACGGCGGAGGCAGUUCUUCAGGAGAUGGACAACAUCAGCAGCAUCAGACAGAACAGGGAGGUGGAGAGACUCCGCAUGUGGACAGACACUGAGGUGGAAAACAUGGACAUGUACUCUCGUGUGAAGAGGAGGAAGGCACUGCGCAGGAACACCUUUGGCAUGCAGACACACCACAAAGCCAUGAGCAAGACAGAAUCGGAAGAGGGGACUGAAGAAUCUCACGGUGAAGAAGAGGAUGACGAAGCAGAGGAGGAGGAGGAGGAGGAGGAUGAUGAUGAUGAUGAAAGAGACGAGACCGAGGAGGCUGGAGAGGGGAACGACAGACCGUACAACCUGAGACAACGCAAGACCGUACAGAGAUACGAGGCGCCACCUAUUGAGCCUGUCAACAGAAAACAAACCAACCCCUCCCUGUUUGACACCCACAGAUCCCCAGCAAGGAGAAGCCAUAUACGAGUGAAGAAGCAUGCCAUCCACAGUAGCGACACUACGUCGUCAUCUGACGAAGAGAGAUUUGAGAGGAGGAAAAGCAAAAGCAUGACCCGGGCCAGGAACAGGUGUCUGCCUUUGAGCCUGAGAGCAGAGGACCUGGCCAGUGGGGUGCUGAGAGACAGGGCCAAGGUGGGAGCUAGCCUCGCUGAUGUGGACCCCAUGAAUCUGGACACCUCAGUGAAGUUUGACAGCGUAGGAGGGCUCUCCAACCACAUCCAGUCUCUGAAGGAGAUGGUGGUCUUCCCUCUACUUUACCCAGAGGUCUUCGAAAGGUUCAAGAUACAGCCCCCAAGAGGGUGUCUUUUCUACGGCCCACCAGGUACAGGGAAGACCCUUGUAGCGCGGGCUUUGGCCAACGAGUGUAGUCAAGGAGACAAAAAGGUGUCUUUCUUCAUGAGGAAGGGAGCCGACUGCCUCAGCAAGUGGGUCGGCGAAUCUGAACGACAGCUACGCCUACUUUUUGACCAGGCGUACCUGAUGAGGCCCUCCAUAAUCUUCUUUGAUGAAAUAGACGGGCUGGCCCCAGUGCGUUCCAGCAGACAGGACCAGAUACACAGCUCCAUAGUGUCCACUCUGCUGGCGUUGAUGGAUGGUCUGGACAGCCGAGGGGAAAUCGUGGUGAUCGGUGCUACCAAUAGGCUGGACUCCAUAGACCCUGCUCUACGGAGACCUGGACGCUUUGACAGGGAGUUCCUCUUCAACCUGCCUGACAGGAAGGCCCGAAGACAAAUCCUUGAGAUCCACACGCGGGACUGGAAUCCUAGACUAGCUGAACAGUUUGUAAAUGAGCUGGCUGAGAAAUGUGUCGGUUACUGUGGCGCAGACAUCAAAGCACUUUGCACAGAGGCGGCCCUGGUGGCACUGCGGCGUUGCUACCCCCAGAUCUACGGCAGCAGUGUUAAGCUGCAGCUGGACGUCAGUACCAUCGUGCUGGAGCCUGGGGACUUCAGCCACGCUCUGCGGACCAUCGUCCCAGCUUCCCAGAGAGCCCAGGCUCCUCCAGGCCGAGCCCUGGCCCCCAACAUACGCCCCCUACUAGCCAACACACUGGCCACGGUGCUGGAGGUCCUGCUCCGAGUCUUCCCCCAUGCAGAAACACGGCACGGGGAGAGUAGAGGAGAUGUUGACAAUCACCUGCUAGAGGAGGUCAGUGAAGAGGAGACUGAUGGAGCAGCUCCCUCCAUCUACAACCUCCAGCCGGGAUCCCCAAAGACACACACACACCCCUCUAUGGCACACACACCCGUCCUACACUUCACCAUAUCAGCCCUUCACCAGCCCACGUCGUACCGGCCUCGCCUGCUGCUGGCGGGUCCCCCCGGUUCGGGACAGAGUUCUCACCUGGCCCCUGCUGUGUUACACCACCUGGACAAGCUGUCUGUCCACCUCCUAGACUUGCCCACACUCUACUCUGUCAGCGCCAAGACACCCGAGGAGUCCUGCGCUCAGGUGUUCCGUGAGGCGUGUCGGAGCGUGCCCAGUGUGGUGUUCAUGCCCCACAUCUGUGAUUGGUGGGAUUCGGUCAGCGACACGGUGAAGAACACCUUCUUCUCUCUACUCCAGGACGUCCCCUCUUUCACCCCCCUCCUCAUCCUCGCCACCACAGAGACGUGCUACACACAGCUACCACAGGAGGUGAAGUUGAUGUUCCAGACGACGUACGGGGAGGUGGUCAGUCUGUCUUCACCUGGAGAGGAGGACAGACGAAGGUUCUUCAUGGACCUGCUACUGGUACAGGCUGCUCGAGUGCCAUCCCACAGGAGACACAAAGCCCUGCUGUGUGAGGAGGUGCUUCCGGUAGCGGAGGUCCCUGGCCCCAGGGUUCUCUCCCCUGAGGAACAGCUUCGCCUGGCCGACCAGGAGGAGAACACUCUGAGAGAACUGCGUCUGUUCCUCAGGGACGUCACCAAGCGCCUCGCCAUAGACAAACGCUUCAACAUCUUCAGCAAACCUGUUGACAUUGAGGAGGUGUCAGACUACCUGGAGGUAAUUAUUCAGCCUAUGGAUCUAUCUACGGUCAUGACCAAGAUCGACACCCAUAAAUACCUGACGGCCAAGAACUUCUUGGUGGACAUAGACCUCAUCUGCAGCAAUGCCCUGGAGUACAACCCUGACAAGGAGCCCUCAGAUAAGAUCAUCCGCCACAGAGCGUGCAGUCUGAAGGACACGGCGCAUGCCAUGCUGGCCUCGGAGCUCGACCCAGAGUUCAACCGCAUGUGUGAGAAAAUCAAGUCACGCAGGAAGAGGGACCUCCAGAUUCUGGAUGUGCCUCCUGUCUCCCUGGCUGCCGUGGUAACCACCAGGAAGCCGGCCGGAGAGGAGAACACUGGGAGCAGUGUCGACAAGCACCACUGCAUCAGCAGCAAUCACAUAAAAAGGAAAGCACGUCGGCGGCCAUCUUGGGGGCGGGGCAUCAUUAGGAAGAAGAAGAACUACAAGAAGGGAACGGAGGAAGAGGAGGAUGAAGGUGCGGAGCCUAAGCCGGAAACGGCAGUACCCAGCGACUCCUGUCUGACUCAGGACGAAGAGUCUUCCUGUGACACCAUGGACCCUCAGCCCAACGGACACCACACACACCCUCACACAUAUGGCAUCUCCACGGAGGAGGAGAGCUCCAAUGAGGCCCCUAGGGGCCAGAGAACAGAGACAGGGCCCAAGGAGGACGAGACACCAACUACAGAAGACCAAGCCAAAUCUACAUCUACAGACAAAGACCCCCAGUCUAAAAGUGAGUCUUAUUGUAAAAACAAGGAGCCUCAAGCUCAGGAGAUCCAGUCUAAAGGUGAGGGGUCAUCAUCUAAAGAUGAAGGUUCCCAAGCUGAAAGUGAGAACCCCCAAGCCAAGCCUAAAGAGGAAGGUUUCCAGCCCAUGGAUGUUGAGAAGGUCCAGCCUAAAGAUGACGAGGUCCAGUCCAAGACUGAGCAGCAGUCGUCAUUCCCCACGCCGGCCACAGUCCCUCGGGAGUGUGUGAACGGGAAUGAGUCCAUGGAUAGCCUGGAUUCCCAGGCCCACAAGAGCUCUGAGACAGAGUGGCCUACAGCGGUCGAAGGUGAAGCGUCAGAGGGGGAAGUGUCGGCGUCUGCAGUGAGCACAGGAACUCAGGAACGCCGUCUUCAGGACGGGAGGACAGGAGACACGGAGACGGGCAAGGAGGAGCAGGACAGAGAAGGCUGCUCCAAGGGGAGGAAGUGCAGAAUGAGACAAUCAGAGCAGUCAAAGGCAUCAACUGACGGGACAGAGGAGAGUCCACAGACCCCUCCACCACCUACACUAGUGGUCGAUCAACAUCGACUCACGGCCCUCUUGGACACAGUGGUACAGAGGAGUGAAGGCUACAGCGUGGAACGCUUGGAGAGACUCUUCUCUCUCCUCAGUCAGUGCAUCUACCAACACCGACUGGACUACGACAAGACACGGCUACAGGAGAUGCAGUGUGAAUGGGUUGACAACACUGAGUAUACCAAACAUUAGGAACACCUUCCUAAUCGUGGGUAAAAUCGCAGAACAGCCUCAGUUUGUCGGGGAGAUGGAGAGGAAAGUCCAGAAUUUCAUUACAUUCCUGUGAGACAGCCAGGUUUACCCUGAACACACACACUCAAGCGGGACAGAGACAAGCCUUUGAGCCAAGUACUUACACACAGAGCAAAUAUAGAGCCCUGGUCUUAACAUGAACGACAGAACGGGAAGACUUUUCUAUGGUGCUAUAGUCUCAGGUACCCUGGUCGGACCCAAAUCCAGUCAACAACCAAACAGACUCCUGGACACGUACACACGAACGGUGAAACGGACAUUCCUGGUGCUAUUCAGGUGCUAUCCUAAUCCUUGCUGCUGUUGGGAGUAACUUGGAAACUAACCAACAAAACAGAUUGGGUGAUGUCAUAUCUCAACGACGGCCUACUUUUAAACUGGGCACACAGUAAUCCCAUUCACAGAUUGUCACCAGCAGUGUGCGUAUGUGCAGUUAGCUUGGAGGUUGAGACAGUCUCCUGUCUUGUCACCAUUGCUGAGCCCAUGUCAUCUCUCAGUACGCUAGUGAAUCAAGAUUAUAGGCCAGUCAUCUCAUAGAUACAACAGCUUACAGAUCAUACUGAGUCAUUAAAACAGUUUGGUUUGAAUAGCCUCUGGAUCUAAUCAAUUAUGAUUUUUUUUUAUUUUAUAACCACCGUUCUCGCUCCAAACAUUGUCCAAUGUACAUUGAAAUGUUUUUAACAUGACCAUACUGUAGGGUAAAGUUGGCACUGCUGGGCUAGAAUCAAUUUCCAGCAUGUACAUGCGUUACAAAAACAUCAAAUCCCCAUUAAUAAGGGUGUUACUGAAAUGCAUCAAUGGGAACUGAGGAAGCAUUUGUUCGAGGUUUGCAGUGAACAUCAAAAUAACAUUCAUUGCUAUGACUGAUAAGUAUUGUCAAACAGAUUGAUGUGCUGCAUCACAGUUCUGUGUAAAAAACACACAAGCUGUGCCCUGCUAAUUUUUAUUUCCUGUCAAUCCACACCUAACUGGAGUAACUCAAAUUAAAUUGGACACCUUUUGUAAUUCGCACUGCCUAGCAUGUGCUUUAUUUUACCCCCAAUUAACUUUCCUAAAGAACAGCUGUUAAGGUUUUUAUCAACUGCUCUGUUCCAUGUAAUGCUGGAUGUAGAAGUUCCCCUUAACUAACCACGUAUCUAGGAUUAAAUGACCAAACUCUCAAGCCUAACUUUAACCUUGACAAUGGUGUUAUUAAUCUGACCCAGGACCAGUGGAUAGAAGUCUACAGUAGGAAAGCAGAUCUGUCUUUUCCUGCCCACAUGAGUAGAAAGUAAUAAUAAAAUACAUUUUAUGUCAACGGAUGCCACAAAUUAGUCACAGCAAAAGUGGUGCCAAGUUUCCGUGACAGUUUUUAGUCGACAUUCAUAGGAAAUAAAUCUUAACUCUAUAAAGAUUUAGAUAAGGAACUUACGGUUGGCUAUGUAUUAUGUUGUGCAUUUGAUUCAGAAAAAAAAAUAAAAUUAUAUUGUAUGAUACAUUGGAAACAAUGUUUUGAAUUGUUUGUGACGCUUCUGACCAUGAACAAGGCCAUUCAAGGCAGUGCUCUGUUGAGGUAUAAAACAGCAUUCUAUCGUUUGAAUUAUUUUGUUGAUGCUUUUUAUUGUCUGUCUAGUAGGAGGGGUGUAAUUAGCUAUAGCCAGCCCAUCCAUGUUCACCUUGUGGUAAAGAAAUGCAUUUUUGUUUUUCAACUUUUUCUGGUCUUUCCUUGGCCAUAGAUGGAUCCAUGUUUUGACGAGAUGUGGCCAGCCUCAGUCUUUUACAUUCACAGUUAAAAGGGGGACUCCGAUAUGACAUGGUUGCAGAAAGUACACCGCAACAACUAAAAGUGUUAUAGCACAAGGCUCAUCUUCUCCACUGUUUUGGUGCUGUGAAGCAGAUACUGUGUGUGAGCGAAGUCUUGCGUCUCACUCAUCUCAAUAUCUGCGACAGUGAAAUUUGUCUGUCUACCUUUUAAUGCCAGGGUUCUUCAGGUCCUGGAGAACUACUAGGCAUGCAGGCUUUUGUUCCAACCAAAUCGUCAUGGUGUUCCUCAGGCUUGACUACGAUUGGGCAGUAACAGAAUCCCGUAUGCCUCGUACUUCUCCAGGAUUGGAGAGCCCUGCUUUUAUGCUGAUCCUAACUCCAUCUGCCUUCUCUUGGAGUGCCAGGUGAAGAUUUAACAAUUAAAAUAAACAUAUGCAAACUGGCAUUGGAAUACUGCAGAGAUAGAGAAACAAAGCUACCUCAGCUUAAUUUAUUUUAAUGCUAAUAAGACAAACUGUUUACCGGGUGCAAACAGUAUUUUGCCAUGUUCUAAACUAUUGUCGCAACACUCGGUACAGCUAAGGUACUGGAUAAUCAGUUCUGUGGCUGCUUCGGUAACCCAACAGUUUGUUUGGUUGGUUCUCACCUUGUUCAGUUUUUUUGUCUAUUGCAUUUGAGCCGAGACGAAACAUACAGCAUUUAAUUUCAAGGGAAUGUCAAACUGUAUAUUUCAGUUCUGUAGACCGAGACGUCCUAAGAUUGCUUUCCUUUCAGAUCGUACUACUACACAUAUUCGCUAGUGUUGUCCAUCAAGCCACAAUCUCCUUUUUUUUCAUUUGAGGGUAAUUGUUUUUGUAGACUUGAAUCUCCUUCUCGUGGUGAUUUAAAUUUGUAUUUUAUUUAUUAAUAAUUAGACAUGUUUUUACGUCUAUCCAUUAAACAAAUUGGCAAUAGUUGUUACUCGGUUAUGAGUUUAGUGCUGAAGUGAGGUAGCGGACUAGCGUGUAUUGGAGAAUAAAGAAGUUUACAGGUGUCUCAGGUUUCUUCAGGCUACACAUGACCUUUCAACUUUCCUAUUUAUUCCAUUGUGGUGUUUGUUUUUCUUUAGUUUUGUGGUUGUGGACUGUGGUAUACCUGGAUGAGGCUAACGUUGACUUAAUGGAAUUUUUACAUCAAAACAAUAGUGUGUAUCUUAUUCACGUUGCUGACACAAUUUGGCAAGCAUCUGUCAAAGUUUGUCAGCAAUUUUUGUCCCUUAAGAAUUGGGUUUCAAAGUGUCAUACAUUUUUUUUCAUCCUCUCCUUGUUCUUUUCUUUACAAACAACCAAUUUUUGUCUGGUAGUUAAAGAUUAUUUAGUCCAGUAUGCACAAUUUUCCAUCACUACUUACUGAGUUUCUCGUGGGAUUUAUUUAGUAGAUUUUGUUUUCGUAGCCUCACCAUGUUUAAUGAACAUCCUCUUCCCCAUCAAAUGUUACUUUGGUGCAAGUUAUUUGAGAGAAACUUUUACUGUAUUUCUAAAAACUGCUGUGAUAUACUUGAAUAAAGGUGCAAAUUGUACUUUG
RNA transcript from Oncorhynchus mykiss (rainbow trout), 8202 nucleotides. It is a transcript of the gene named ATPase family AAA domain containing 2B, with no coding region annotated. The record is from RefSeq and is a predicted model, not a curated record. Lineage: Eukaryota; Metazoa; Chordata; Actinopteri; Salmoniformes; Salmonidae.